UACGUAGGGUGCGAGCGUUAAUCGGAAUUACUGGGCGUAAAGCGUGCGCAGGCGGUUUUGUAAGACAGAUGUGAAAUCCCCGGGCUUAACCUGGGAACUGCAUUUGUGACUGCAAGACUAGAGUGCGGCAGAGGGGGGUAGAAUUCCACGUGUAGCAGUGAAAUGCGUAGAUAUGUGGAGGAAUACCGGUAGCGAAGGCGGCCCUCUGGACGGAUACUGACGCUGAGACGCGACAGCGUGGGGAGCAAACAGG
This 253-nucleotide ribosomal RNA is filed under the name uncultured bacterium. RNAcentral describes it as "partial 16S ribosomal RNA". It matches the Rfam family "Bacterial small subunit ribosomal RNA", at positions 524 to 776 of the family's 1533-position model. The record is from RNAcentral.